Non-coding RNA from Penaeus vannamei (Pacific white shrimp), 752 nucleotides. NCBI's taxonomy places the organism in Eukaryota, Metazoa, Arthropoda, Malacostraca, Decapoda, Penaeidae. The record is from RefSeq and is a predicted model, not a curated record.
UGGUUUUUCUUUGGGGGAGUUUUCGUAUGUCAUCUCUGCGUUUGCCAAUUUCCUCGUGUGUUUAUUAUUUCUUUCAUCUGUCAUCAUGACCCUCGUCACUCAAGGUCAGAGGCCAAGAGUGUUCACCGUUAUACUUGAUCUCGAAGGAUGAACACGAGAGAACACACUCCGGCAGCGGUUCGAGUUAAUGGUCACUGAUGUAGUCCAUUACAAACUUUUUUUCCCCUUUAGAAUAUCUACUACCUUUACACUCGCCAAAUGUAAGUAUUUUCUCUCUUUUCAGUUAAUGAAUCAUGAUGAAUAUCUUUGAUGUACGAUAAAAGGAUCAUAUCAGAAACGUCGCAUAACCUUGAUUCACUUUCCUUUAUUGUCCGGCGUCGUGUCAAUUCGCUUCGCCCCGAUUGCAGUCGUUGGCCAAAUGCAAUCAGAACGACCCCGCUGGGAAGGUCAUAGCAAUCAUAUUUAACAGAGUCGCAGCGGGUCGUGAUUGGCAUCCGCUUUAAUCAUUUUAGUUGUUGGCAGCAGCGUAUAACAAUCACGAGUCCUUCCAGAUCAGGUCAGGAAUGCUGUUAUGAUUUCCUCGGCCGCCAUGAUGACCUCGAAUCGGAGUUUUAAUUGAUACUCGAGAGGAGGUUUCGGCGGAAGGCAGUCUUAGCCAACAUGUCUCCUUGGAAAGCGAGGGAUCGACAGCGAGAGCAACAGGACAGCUGUUAUUCCGUCUCGCUGCCUUUUGACAAAUAAACUUGAAAAAA